AUCCCAUCCCGAACUCAGUAGUGAAACGCAAUCGCGCCGAUGAUAGUGUGGGGUCUCCCCAUGUGAAAGUAGGUCAUUGCCAAGC
RNAcentral lists this ribosomal RNA (85 nucleotides) under Shewanella sp. 1_MG-2023. The record is from RNAcentral. Lineage: Bacteria; Pseudomonadati; Pseudomonadota; Gammaproteobacteria; Alteromonadales; Shewanellaceae.